Molecule: transfer RNA, 71 nt
Filed under: Brycon henni
Lineage: Eukaryota; Metazoa; Chordata; Actinopteri; Characiformes; Bryconidae
Description: tRNA-Tyr
Rfam family: tRNA
About the family: Transfer RNA (tRNA) molecules are approximately 80 nucleotides in length. Their secondary structure includes four short double-helical elements and three loops (D, anti-codon, and T loops).
Source: RNAcentral
GGUAAGGUGGCCGAGAGUUUAGGUGGUGGGUUGUAGCCCCAUGAACAAAGGUUUGAGUCCUUUCCUUACCA